RNAcentral lists this ribosomal RNA (280 nucleotides) under uncultured bacterium. RNAcentral's name for it is "partial 16S ribosomal RNA". It matches the Rfam family "Bacterial small subunit ribosomal RNA", at positions 80 to 354 of the family's 1533-position model. The record is from RNAcentral.
ACGGAAAAGGGAAAAGGGCUUAGUGGCGGACGGGUGAGUAACGCGUGGGUAACCUGGCCCAUACAGGGGGAUAACACUUAGAAAUAGGUGCUAAUACCGCAUAACAACAGAAAGCGCAUGCUUUUUGUUUGAAAACCAAGGUGGUAUGGGAUGGACCCGCGUCCGAUUAGCUGGUUGGCGGGGUAGAGGCCCACCAAGGCGACGAUCAGUAGCCGGCCUGAGAGGGUGAACGGCCACAUUGGGACUGAGACACGGCCCAAACUCCUACGGAAGGCAGCAG